UACGUAGGGUGCAAGCGUUGUCCGGAAUUAUUGGGCGUAAAGAGCUCGUAGGCGGCUUGUCGCGUCGGCUGUGAAAACCUGGGGCUCAACCCCGGGCCUGCAGCCGAUACGGGCAAGCUAGAGUUCGGUAGGGGAGACUGGAAUUCCUGGUGUAGCGGUGAAAUGCGCAGAUAUCAGGAGGAACACCGGUGGCGAAGGCGGGUCUCUGGGCCGAAACUGACGCUGAGGUGCGAAAGCGUGGGGAGCAAACAGG
Molecule: ribosomal RNA, 253 nt
Filed under: uncultured bacterium
Lineage: Bacteria
Description: partial 16S ribosomal RNA
Rfam family: Bacterial small subunit ribosomal RNA
Source: RNAcentral